UACGUAGGGGGCAAGCGUUGUCCGGAUUUAUUGGGCGUAAAGAGCGUGUAGGCGGUUAGGUAAGUCCGUUGUGAAAACUCGAGGCUCAACCUCGAGACGCCGAUGGAAACCCCCUAACUAGAGUCCGGAAGAGGAGAGUGGAAUUCCUGGUGUAGCGGUGAAAUGCGCAGAUAUCAGGAAGAACACCCGUGGCUAAGGCGGCUCUCUAGUACGGUACUGACGCUGAGACGCGAAAGCGUGGGGAGCGAACAGG
RNAcentral lists this ribosomal RNA (253 nucleotides) under uncultured bacterium. RNAcentral's name for it is "partial 16S ribosomal RNA". It matches the Rfam family "Bacterial small subunit ribosomal RNA", at positions 524 to 776 of the family's 1533-position model. The record is from RNAcentral.